CUAUUUUCAUUAAUUUGUUGUUUGUUUUUCUAAAGGAAGCGUUCUAGGUGGGGUCCAGUCUGGAUCAGGAAGUGCUUGGGACCAGCUGUGGCGUGGAUGGGCCGUGCCCUUGGAGAGGACUGAGGACAUCGUUUGGGACCAGCUUUUCUUGUGGCAGCGGAUGGUGUGAGCCGGGCUCUGCGGAUGCUGAGGCUGCUCUGGGCUCUGCCAGGGCUCUGCUGGGCUCAGCACCGGGCCGGGAUCAGCCAAAGAAGAAACGCUGUGACCUGCAGCAGAGACCUGAGCAUUUUGGCAAUGCAGCUCAAGUCUGCACAGUGUCCACCUCCAAGGGAAAAGAUGACACCCCCCAAAAAUUAAACUUGUUCAAUAACUUCUGAAAUGAAAUCCAUCUGGGAUGACCCCUAAUGACAUUUUUCAUCUUGCUCAAGCUGUAGCUCAGCCCUUCUCUGAACAGUUCUGUCCCCACACCUGCCUUUUACUUCACAACUGCUCCCUCCUUUCCCCCAGUGAGUUCCCAGCCCAUCACAGUCUCCAUCACACUGCAGCCUUCCUUGAUGCCCCUCACCACGAGGAAGGCCAAGCCCCAGUCUCAGGGACUCAUCCUGUCACUGGCUGAAGAACAGCAAUGUUUCAGAAGUCUGGUAGGAGUUUAGUGUCUUUCAGAGCUGCUCUCCAGCCCUCAGCUCUCCUCACUCCUUUUCCUCAUCCAUCAGGAUGUGCUCCGUGAAUCCCCCUGUGAUAAAUGGAAAUGAUUCAUGUUAACUAAAUUGUAAGUUUUUGGAAAGUUAUUAUUUGAAAUUAGUUAUUAUUAGAAGCAAUCAAGGGAAUUAGUGUUACAAAGCAGAUGUACCCCUUUACAGAUGUUACAUGUUAAAAUUAAGAUAGGCAAUGUAGUUUUGAGAUAAGAAAUGUCCCAAGAGAAAACUGACCAUGAGAAGGAUAAAGUUGGAACGACUUUAGGCGUAGGGCCUGAACAUUAUGAAGGGUAAGACUAAUUAGUGGAGCACAAUGCUCACUUACAUAACACAACACUUAAUACACACACACAGCCUGUGAGGUUAUCCAGAGGACAACGAGGAUGAGUGUAAGCCUUCGU
This is a non-coding RNA of Cyanistes caeruleus (blue tit), 1096 nucleotides long. The record is from RefSeq and is a predicted model, not a curated record. NCBI's taxonomy places the organism in Eukaryota, Metazoa, Chordata, Aves, Passeriformes, Paridae.